UGAACUAAUGCAACCCCUCGUGAUGCUGCAAUUGUGAAUUUCGGUUAUCAUUCUGCCCACAAGGGUAGCUGUGGUCGAGUUGGUAAGAUUAUUAUAUGGAGCUAUAAUCUGUUUCUUCCAUUCCCUAGCAUGCAUAGUUGGUUUACAGAAUCGACAGAUUGAGCCAUAAAAAAUCUAAUAAAUGGUCUAUAAUAGAGCAGUAUCGUUUAAAGUUUCAAAUACAUUGAUUUGUUUGUAAUUGGGUCAAUAUGGUUAAGGCUAUGCCGGACGCGUUUUUUCAUCUUUAAUGGUAUAUUUUUGUUUAAUUAAAAUUUAAUUUAAUCUAUGUGCGCUAUAUUUAGGUGUUUGUUCCAAAUUGAUAAAUGUGAAUUUAUUAAAUGUUGAUUUUGUAUGGAAACAGGUUAACAUUUGGUUGGAGCACCUCAACAAUGUCGCUGCAAAUAGAGAAAGGGGCCAGGCAAAGGCUGCAGAGACACGGUCUCUGAAAAAGAAAGAGUUGAGGACAGAGACAACUCCUGGUGGUGCUGCCACAUCGACUGCGACUACCCAUAGAAGUUCCGCUAGGAGCCCAAACCAUAGCCAGGCUCAGAGUGCACCAGACAAUAUCAUGGUAGAUGUUUCGAGGUUUGGACGGAGGAGGGUACCAAAAAGAUUUGAUGAAUAUAUUAUGUAAAAACAAUAAAAAUAAAAAUAAAAAAUGAAGUUC
Molecule: long non-coding RNA, 706 nt
Organism: Mya arenaria
Lineage: Eukaryota; Metazoa; Mollusca; Bivalvia; Myida; Myidae
Exons: 3
Source: RefSeq, a predicted model, not a curated record